This 72-nucleotide transfer RNA is filed under the name Phrynosoma platyrhinos (Desert horned lizard). Its description in RNAcentral is "tRNA-OTHER". The record is from RNAcentral. Lineage: Eukaryota; Metazoa; Chordata; Lepidosauria; Squamata; Phrynosomatidae.
GCCAAUGUGGUGUAGCGGUUUGAGCGUUGGACGAUGACUCUGGGGACCAGGGUUCGAUUCCCAGCUUGGCCA